Molecule: ribosomal RNA, 324 nt
Filed under: uncultured marine eukaryote
Lineage: Eukaryota
Description: bacterial SSU rRNA
Rfam family: Eukaryotic small subunit ribosomal RNA
Source: RNAcentral
UUAAAAAGCUCGUAGUUGGAUUUCUGGUCUGGGCGUCCGGUCCGCCGCUGUGCGGUGUGUACUUGGUUCGACCCGGGCCUUCCUUGUGGGGAAUGUAUCUGGGCUUAAUUGGUCGGAUAUUGGAACCACAUCGUUUACUGUGAAAAAAUUGGAGUGUUUAAAGCAGGCAUUUGCUGUGAAUACAUUAGCAUGGAAUAAUAAGAUAGGACUUUGGUUCUAUUUUGUUGGUUGGAGGCCAAGGUAAUGAUUAAUAGGGAUAGUUGGGGGUAUUCAUAUUUAAUUGUCAGAGGUGAAAUUCUUGGAUUUAUGAAAGAUGAGCCUUAU